Long non-coding RNA from Betta splendens (Siamese fighting fish), 760 nucleotides. RefSeq lists it as uncharacterized. The record is from RefSeq and is a predicted model, not a curated record. The transcript has 2 exons. Lineage: Eukaryota; Metazoa; Chordata; Actinopteri; Anabantiformes; Osphronemidae.
CUCCACCGUACCGGAGGCGUCGGCGGGGCAGGCGAUGGCGGCCAUGUCUCCGGCGGGGGUCCUCUUCCACACCACGUCUCCGGUGCUCUGCUCAGGGCAGAUCUCAUGGGGCUCUGAUAGGUUCCAAAGGCAAAGGAUGGACGCCUCUGCUCUCCCUUGUCACCGGGGCAGGGGUCUCCGCCAAAGAAAGGCCCCUCGCACGCCCUCUGCCUCUGCUGGACGCCGCCACCGCACGUCUUGCUGCAGCCGCCCCAGGCGCUCCACGAAUGCCAGCGUCCGUCAACUACGUCGGGGGGAGACCACAUUGAGUUUCCAGGCGCGAUCUGUGUCUAUUGGUCGGAACCUCGCGGAUUGAAGGUCAGUGUUGGGUUCCUACCGGGACAAUCUUUCAGGAAGCAGUUGGCCGUCUCCUUCCAGCCGCCGUGGCACUCGGAGCCGCCGUAGGAGGGGCCGUUGCACUCCCGCGUUCUCUGCAUGGUGCCGUUGGAGCAGGUGGUGGAGCAGGGGCUCCAGGCGGACCACUCGUUCCAGGAUCCGUCCACUAGAGGGAGGCAGAGGAACAUGCAUCAUGGGGGGGGGGUUCUGGAGACAAACGCUCACUGAUGCCACUAGUGCUUCACAUGACCUACUUAAGCUGACUUUAAGAACCUGCCGACCUCUAACUGCUUUUAUGCUGACAGUGAUCAACUCACGAGGACCACACUGACAGUAAUCCAGUAAAACCAGGGGUCACAUAUAGUGCAGACAAAAAAAAAUAAAA